Molecule: ribosomal RNA, 497 nt
Filed under: uncultured bacterium
Lineage: Bacteria
Description: partial 16S ribosomal RNA
Rfam family: Bacterial small subunit ribosomal RNA
Source: RNAcentral
GACGAACGCUGGCGGCGUGCCUAAUACAUGCAAGUUGAGCGAUGAAGCUUGGUGCUUGCCCCAAUUUGAAGAGCAGCGCACGGGUGAGUAACGCGUGGGGAAUCUGCCUUUGAGCGGGGGACAACAUUUGGAAACGAAUGCUAAUACCGCAUAACAACUUUAAACAUAAGUUUUAAGUUUGAAAGAUGCAAUUGCAUCACUCAAAGAUGAUCCCGCGUUGUAUUAGCUAGUUGGUGAGGUAAAGGCUCACCAAGGCGAUGAUACAUAGCCGACCUGAGAGGGUGAUCGGCCACAUUGGGACUGAGACACGGCCCAAACUCCUACGGGAGGCAGCAGUAGGGAAUCUUCGGCAAUGGACGAAAGUCUGACCGAGCAACGCCGCGUGAGUGAAGAAGGUUUUCGGAUCGUAAAACUCUGUUGGUAGAGAAGAACGUUGGUGAGAGUGGAAAGCUCAUCAAGUGACGGUAACUACCCAGAAAGGGACGGCUAACUACGUG